Molecule: ribosomal RNA, 534 nt
Filed under: Sordariomycetes sp. 2Di123-4
Lineage: Eukaryota; Fungi; Ascomycota; Sordariomycetes
Description: eukaryotic LSU rRNA
Rfam family: 5.8S ribosomal RNA (bases 204-357)
Source: RNAcentral
CGUAGGUGAACCUGCGGAGGGAUCAUUACAAGAAGCCGAAAGGCUACUUCAAACCAUCGCGAACUCGUCCAAGUUGCUUCGGCGGCGCGGCACCCCUUAACGGGGGCGCCGCAGCCCUGCCUCUCCGGAGGUUCGGGGCGCCCGCCGGAGGUACGAAACUCUGUAUUAUAGUGGCAUCUCUGAGUAUAAAACAAAUAAGUUAAAACUUUCAACAACGGAUCUCUUGGUUCUGGCAUCGAUGAAGAACGCAGCGAAAUGCGAUAAGUAAUGUGAAUUGCAGAAUUCAGUGAAUCAUCGAAUCUUUGAACGCACAUUGCGCCCGGUAGUACUCUACCGGGCAUGCCUGUUCGAGCGUCAUUUCAACCCUCAAGCCCUGCUUGGUGUUGGGGCCCUACGGCUGCCGUAGGCCCUGAAAGGAAGUGGCGGGCUCGCUACAACUCCGAGCGUAGUAAUUCAUUAUCUCGCUAGGGAGGUUGCGGCGUGCUCCUGCCGUUAAAGACCCAUCUUUAACCAAGGUUGACCUCGGAUCAGGUA